Cornus florida is the source of this 969-nucleotide long non-coding RNA. RefSeq lists it as uncharacterized. The record is from RefSeq and is a predicted model, not a curated record. Lineage: Eukaryota; Viridiplantae; Streptophyta; Magnoliopsida; Cornales; Cornaceae. The transcript has 2 exons.
CUUAUCAUUAUAUUUAUAGAGAGUAGAUUCCUAACGUUCAAACAUACUGUGAGAUACUGAAAACUAACAUUCAAACAAAUGAGAGAAGUAAAGGUAAAGAAAAAAGUCACCAGGACUGGAGGAUUCACCAGCCAGUCAACCACAGUUUUAAAACCAUUUCCUUCUCUCUUCUUCUUCAUUUCAUUCUAAUUUCAUCAAAUUCCAACUCUCUCAUUGAUUCUGCAAAAUCCUUUUCAGAAAUCGAAACAUGCAAGACAUUAACAUUCAAAAUCCUUUUCGUGCACCAGGGAACCGCUGCAACAUUAAGAAGAGCCUGCAUGAAGAUGACAAUUGAAAGAGAUAAGGACAAAGGAAAUCACACAAUAAGUUGGCUCAUGAAGGAAAAGAAAAUGAAAAGGCCCUCAAACACCAUUCAGGAUCACAAGUUAGGACGGAUAACCACAAGAAUCAACCUUACCCAGCCACAAUGGGUUAAACUGGUCAGGUAUGUUUGGUAUUUCAACUUUGCACCGUCAGGGUUACAUCAUCCAAUCCCCAAACCAGCCCCUAAUCAUGGUUCUCUGUUAUUAUAUUUCCUUACUUCUAUAGGUUGUCCUCUUUAAUUUGUUGGACUAUCAUUAUGAUGUAGAUCAUUAAUUUGUUGGACUAUCAUUAUGAUGUAGAUCAUUAUGUCCACAACACAGCCAACACUAAGAGAUCUUACAAACCCUAACUAAGUAUUUUCCAUCAUUUGUUGAAGGCAACACUUAGGAUCUAACAUAUGAUUUAUGAUUAUCCAUUGCCCCAAAUGGUAGAAACACUUCUUCCUCAUCCUAAUCUCUGAGUUCAUCUGUCUAUUUUUAUUGCCACUUCCUCCACCAUACAAUUAAUUAUGUCCUUUGUUUUUUUUCUCUUUUGACUCCUUACAUUGGAGUGAGAAAUGGAGUUUGAACCAAUAAUGAACUGAAAAGCACAAUGCUAUUUUUGUUC